RNAcentral lists this ribosomal RNA (301 nucleotides) under uncultured bacterium. RNAcentral's name for it is "partial 16S ribosomal RNA". It matches the Rfam family "Bacterial small subunit ribosomal RNA", at positions 509 to 807 of the family's 1533-position model. The record is from RNAcentral.
CAGUCGCCGCGGGAAUACGUAGGGUGCAAGCGUUGUCCGGAAUUAUUGGGCGUAAAGAGCUCGUAGGCGGUUUGUCGCGUCUGCUGUGAAAUCCCGAGGCUCAACCUCGGGCUUGCAGUGGGUACGGGCAGACUAGAGUGCGGUAGGGGAGAUUGGAAUUCCUGGUGUAGCGGUGGAAUGCGCAGAUAUCAGGAGGAACACCGAUGGCGAAGGCAGAUCUCUGGGCCGUAACUGACGCUGAGGAGCGAAAGCGUGGGGAGCGAACAGGAUUAGAUACCCGAGUAGUCCCUGUCUCUUAUAC